Acanthochromis polyacanthus (spiny chromis) is the source of this 1031-nucleotide long non-coding RNA. RefSeq lists it as uncharacterized. The record is from RefSeq and is a predicted model, not a curated record. NCBI's taxonomy places the organism in Eukaryota, Metazoa, Chordata, Actinopteri, Pomacentridae. The transcript has 3 exons.
CGUCAGAAUUCAUCAAGUUUAAACAUUAUCAUCAUGAUCUGCAUGGACUCUUUAGUGUUUUUUAGAGUAUUCCCCUCUAUGCUGAUGAUAGUUCAACUUUCUAAUGAUGGGAGUUUUAUCAUGAAAAACUAAAUCUGAGUUGAAGAUCCUGAGAUGUCAAUAAAACGACUUUAUCCAACGUCUCUCAGAAAAAGAACGUGUUCACUCCACUCUGUAAGAUUCAGUUUUCAGGUCGAACUGCAGGCAGCGUUUCCUCAGAGAGACCGAGAGGAAAAUAAAAUAAAUGCAGCAGAACCAGAGAACAGAGAUCCAUUCAGCAUGGAGGAACACGUACUGAUAAGAAGAGAUAAAAACAUCUACGAGACGAGGAGAUGGAAGCAGCUGGUUAACAGGUAACAGGUGAGUUAACAGGUAACAGAUGGGUGUACCUUGCCAGAGAGUCUGCUCAGCUUCUUCCACUCUCUGAGACACUGAGCGUCGAACCGAUGAGGAAUCUCAGCAGCAAUCUUCGCCCAGCGACCUGAAAACACAAACAGCUGAGCCGGAGGUUCUGGGUUCUACCAGCAGAACCACAGCAUGAAGAUGAUAUUCAGACCCCCAUCUGUUCUCUGCUCCAUGUUCUGCUCUGAAAAUCUAGAUUUCUCCACUUGGUGAUGUCUAGCAAGAAAUAAAAUAAAAAUCAGUUUAUAUACAGAGGAGACUCUCACUGACGUUCCCUGGAAAUCAGCUUAGAACUCUGCUGCUACAAACAGACCAAAUGACCUCUAGAACCUCCUGCAUGAGCUCUAGAUCCUUCUUCAUACACUCUAGAACCUCCUAAAUGUGCUCUAGAAGUUCUCAAUGAACUAUAGAACUUUUGUAAUGAACUCUAGAUCAUUCCAAAUAAACUCCAGAACCACCUUAAGAAACCUCCUGAAUGAAACAAUGAACUUUUAAAUGAAAUCUAGAACCUUUCUAAUUGAUCUCUAGAACCUUUUCAAUGAACUCUAGAACCAUCUAAAUGACCUUUAAAAUCUGCUCAAUGAAACGUA